Molecule: ribosomal RNA, 253 nt
Filed under: uncultured bacterium
Lineage: Bacteria
Description: partial 16S ribosomal RNA
Rfam family: Bacterial small subunit ribosomal RNA
Source: RNAcentral
UACAGAGGGGGCAAGCGUUGUUCGGAAUUACUGGGCGUAAGGGGCGCGUAGGCGGCCUGCUAAGUCGAACGUGAAAUCCCUGGGCUUAACCGGGGAACUGCGUCUGAUACUGGAUGGCUUGAGAUUGGGAGAGGGAUGCGGAAUUCCAGGUGUAGCGGCGAAAUGCGUAGAUAUCUGGAGGAACACCGGUGGCGAAGGCGGCAUCCUGGACCGGCAUUGACGCUAAAGCGCGAAGGCCAGGGGAGCAAACGGG